GCGGAGCGUAGCAUUUCGCGGUUCAAAAGACCGUGAAACUACCGGGCACGCGCUUCGUGGCAGGGUAAGCAUUUAGCUCAGAUGGUAGAGCGUUGAUCCUAUAGUCAAUGGCGCUGGUUCGAUUCCGGCAAUGUUUCUAAAAAUGCAAAGACGUGUCCAGGUCUUGUCGAAAAUGGCUUAAUGCCGCGGUCCGCAGGGAUAACGCGGCCAGGGGGAGAGCCGCAAGCUCGACCCUUGUUGAAUCAGAAACGCACGGUGGUGUUAGCACACCUUGAUUGCCCGCAAGGCAGACGGUAGUGGAAGAUUCGAGUAGGCAGGAUUGAUACGGGAUUCGCCACCCGUCAAAAAAGGCAGCCAUGCAACCUACUGUCUUGCGCCCAUUGGCGGAUGCAGUGGAUACGGGAUUAACGGCAGCCCGCAAGCAUGCCGGUAAGGUCCUCAAAGGGUUGUGUCAGUGGCUAUAGUCUCAGGCC
RNAcentral lists this small RNA (473 nucleotides) under Microbulbifer sp. ZGT114. Its description in RNAcentral is "Giant, ornate, lake- and Lactobacillales-derived (GOLLD) RNA". It matches the Rfam family "Giant, ornate, lake- and Lactobacillales-derived (GOLLD) RNA". The record is from Rfam by way of RNAcentral. Lineage: Bacteria; Pseudomonadati; Pseudomonadota; Gammaproteobacteria; Cellvibrionales; Microbulbiferaceae.